CACUUAUAGCUAUAAUUAUAAGCACGACCUGCUCAAUGAAAAAUUAAAUAGCCGCAGUUUCCUGUGCUAAGGUAGCAUAAUCAUUUGUCUCCUAAUUAGAGACCAGUAUGAAAGGUUACACAUACAACACUUGCCUCAAAUUAAACCUAUUAAUCUAUUCUAAAUAUUAAAAAAUAUUUAUAAAAUAAAAAGACGACAAGACCCUAUCAAACUUAGACUAAAGUUCAGCUGGGGCAGCUAUAGAAAAAAAAUUUCUACCUAAAACUAUUUCAUCACUAUCAGACCUGCUUCAAGCAAUAACCGGAUUAAGUUACUGUAGGGAUAACAGCGUAAUAAUCUUCAAAAGCUCAUAUUAAAAAGAAAGAUUACGACCUCGAUGUUGAAUUAAUUUUAUCUACUAGACGCAACCGUCCAGUAAGUAGGUCUGUUCGACCUUUAAAAAAUUACG
This is a ribosomal RNA of 448 nucleotides. It matches the Rfam family "Archaeal large subunit ribosomal RNA", at positions 1923 to 2669 of the family's 2987-position model.